RNAcentral lists this microRNA precursor (103 nucleotides) under Marmota monax (woodchuck). The record is from RNAcentral. Lineage: Eukaryota; Metazoa; Chordata; Mammalia; Rodentia; Sciuridae.
AGUGAGAUAGCUGGGUUAAAUGGUGGUUCCAUUCCAAGUUUUCUGAAAAAUCUCCAUACUGCUCUCCAUAGUGGUUGAACCAAUUUGUAGUCCCACCAGCAAU